RNAcentral lists this unclassified non-coding RNA (227 nucleotides) under Hevea brasiliensis (rubber tree). The record is from RNAcentral. Lineage: Eukaryota; Viridiplantae; Streptophyta; Magnoliopsida; Malpighiales; Euphorbiaceae.
GCUGAAGUUUCAAGUGGGAACUUCCAACUGCCUUCCUGAUAAGCUGUAGUUAUUUGAAUAAAAUCUUCUGCCAUCUCUACUGAGGAAUUUAAUUCUAAUACAAACUCCCUGAUCUUAGAGAUAACUGGUUUUGUGGUUCUUAAUCCAUCAUCUAUAAUCAAAUUCAAAGCACGAGCAGCACAAGGAAUAUAGCAGAAAGGCGUCAAUUUCUGACCUUCUAAAUCCUC